Molecule: non-coding RNA, 24 nt
Filed under: Mus musculus (house mouse)
Lineage: Eukaryota; Metazoa; Chordata; Mammalia; Rodentia; Muridae
Source: RNAcentral
UAAUUGCAGAGACGACAUGACUUG